RNAcentral lists this ribosomal RNA (505 nucleotides) under uncultured bacterium. RNAcentral describes it as "partial 16S ribosomal RNA". It matches the Rfam family "Bacterial small subunit ribosomal RNA", at positions 28 to 507 of the family's 1533-position model. The record is from RNAcentral.
GACGAACGCUGGCGGCGUGCCUAAUACAUGCAAGUAGAACGCACAGUUUAUACCGUAGCUUGCUACACCAUAGACUGUGAGUUGCGAACGGGUGAGUAACGCGUAGGUAACCUGCCUGGUAGCGGGGGAUAACUAUUGGAAACGAUAGCUAAUACCGCAUAAUAUUAAUUAUUGCAUGAUAAUUAAUUGAAAGGUGCAAUUGCACCACUACCAGAUGGACCUGCGUUGUAUUAGCUAUGAGGUGAGGUAACGGCUCACCUAGGCGACGAUACAUAGCCGACCGGAGAGGGAGAUCGGCCAAACUGGGACUGAGACACGGCCCAGACCCCUACGGGAGGCAGCAGUAGGGAAGCUUCGGAAAUGGACGAAAGGCUGACCGAGCAACGCCGCGUGAGUGAAGAAGGUUUUCGGAUCGUAAAGCUCUGUUGUAAGAGAAGAACGGGUGUGAGAGUGGAAAGGGCACACUGUGACGGUAUCUUAACAGAAAGGGACGGCUAACUACGUG